AACAAGGUGGCCGAGUGAUUAAAGCAAUGGACUGUUAAUCCAUUGUGUUCUGCACGUGUGGGUUCAAAUCCCAUCCUUGUCA
This is a non-coding RNA of Myxocyprinus asiaticus (Chinese sucker), 82 nucleotides long. The record is from the annotation of a RefSeq genome assembly. NCBI's taxonomy places the organism in Eukaryota, Metazoa, Chordata, Actinopteri, Cypriniformes, Catostomidae.